GAAAUGCGAUACGUAAUGUGAAUUGCAGAAUUCAGUGAAUCAUCGAAUCUUUGAACGCAUAUUGCACUCUCUGGUAUUCCGGAGAGUAUGCUUGUUUGAGUAUCAGUAAACACCUCAGAAAGAAAUUUUUUUUUCUGGAUUUGAGCUGUCCCAACUCUUGUUCAGUCAAGAGGCGGGUUGCUUGAAAUGCAGGUGCAGCUGGGAUUCCACACUUCAUUGUCCAAGGCUACAAGCAUUUCUGCUUAGUCCGGUCAAACGGAUUAUACCUUUUUGCUGCAGCCAAACGAUAGUUGGGCUCCCGAAACGCUGACUGAUGCAGGAUAAUAUUUGACAGAUUUCGAGGGGGUUUUUUUUUUCUCCCUUCGAUCUUUGUUUGUUCCACUCGAUCUCAAAUCAAGUA
Molecule: unclassified non-coding RNA, 400 nt
Filed under: uncultured fungus
Lineage: Eukaryota; Fungi
Description: sequence contains ITS1
Rfam family: 5.8S ribosomal RNA (bases 1-105)
Source: RNAcentral